UCUUCCACAAUGGGUGCAAACCUGAUGGAGCAAUGCCGCGUGAAUGAAGAAGGUCUUCGGAUUGUAAAGUUCUGUUAUAGAGGAAGAACGGUGUACGUAGGAAAUGACGUACAAGUGACGGUACUCUGUGAGGAAGCCACGGCUAACUACGUGCCAGCAGCCGCGGUAAUACGUAGGUGACAAGCGUUGUCCGGAAUUAUUGGGCGUAAAGGGAGCGCAGGCGGUUGGAAUAGUCUGAUGUGAAAGCCCACGGCUUAACCGUGGAAGGUCAUUGGAAACUGUCCAACUUGAAUGCAGAAGAGGUAAGUGGAAUUCCAUGUGUAGGGUGAAAUGCGUAGAUAUAUGGAGGAACACCAGUGGCGAAGGCGACUUACUGGUCUGUGAUUGACGCUGAGGCUCGAAAGCGUGGGUAGCGA
Molecule: ribosomal RNA, 416 nt
Filed under: uncultured bacterium
Lineage: Bacteria
Description: bacterial SSU rRNA
Rfam family: Bacterial small subunit ribosomal RNA
Source: RNAcentral